CUCGGUGACCAUAGUGCUGGGGUCACACCCGUUCCCAUCCCGAACACGGCCGUUAAGCCCAGCAUGCCGAUGAUACUGCCACCGCGGGAAAGUAGGUCAUCGCCGAGU
Molecule: ribosomal RNA, 108 nt
Filed under: Algisphaera agarilytica
Lineage: Bacteria; Pseudomonadati; Planctomycetota; Phycisphaerae; Phycisphaerales; Phycisphaeraceae
Also listed under: 1 other name
Source: RNAcentral